Molecule: long non-coding RNA, 644 nt
Filed under: Mytilus galloprovincialis (Mediterranean mussel)
Lineage: Eukaryota; Metazoa; Mollusca; Bivalvia; Mytilida; Mytilidae
Source: RNAcentral
CAUGUUUUUAAAUACCUAAUUUAUACGAAGUAAAUAAAGCGUUUGUAUUUAAAAAUGCCUAUUAGAUUCAUUUUAAAGACAUUUUUUGUUAUGGCAUGGCUAUAUAUUUGAACAGAAUUUCAAUAGCUACAAGUGCUGAUAAUAAAAUUGAGAAUGGAAAUGGGGAAAAUGUGAAAGAGACAACAAUACGAACAAAUAGCAGACAACAACCGAAGCCAGUUAGAAAAUCCCGCACCCGGAGGUGGUCCUCAGGUGGCCCCUAAAUAAAAAGAUGUACUAGUUCAGUGAAAAUGGACGUCACACUAAACUCCAACAUAUAAAUGAACUAAAGUUAACAAAAAAAUAUAUACAAGACUAACAAAGACCAGAUUCUCCUGACUUGAGAUAGGUGCCGCAUAGUCAGCUAUCAACAGAUCCAAACUGUCUUAAAUGAUCACCAGUGCAAUUAGCUUGUGUCCGAUUUAUUCGGAUUUAUGACAUUUUUUUUCAAGAUUUUAUUCAUAACCUCAGCUUAAUCAAUUUCUGCACCUUAUUUUUGGAAAAGCUUGUGUUCAAUUUGAAGGUUAUAACUACGACCCGGAUACACUUACCCAAACGAACAAAAACAUAGUGACAGGCAGAUGAUUAUAAAAAUGCAACCACGC